GACAGAGGCCUCAAGCGUUAGGCGGAAUCACUGGGCUUAAAGCGUGUGUAGGCGGAUCGUUAAGUGUCUUGUGAAAUCCCACGGCUCACCCGUGGAACUGCUGGGCAUACUGGCGAUCUUGGGCCAACUAGGGGCAACUGGAACAAGCGGUGGAGCGGUGAAAUGCGUAGAUAUCGCUUGGAACGCCAAAGGUGAAAACAGGUUGCUGGGGUUGUGCCGACGCUGAGACACGAAAGCGUGGGGAGCGAACAGG
RNAcentral lists this ribosomal RNA (253 nucleotides) under uncultured bacterium. RNAcentral's name for it is "partial 16S ribosomal RNA". It matches the Rfam family "Bacterial small subunit ribosomal RNA", at positions 524 to 776 of the family's 1533-position model. The record is from RNAcentral.